CCUCUAAGGCUAGAGCUAUAACCUACGUAGGUUAUACCUGUGCUAGUUCCAAAUUUCUGUUUUUAUUAUUUACUUAUUCUUAUUUUCUGAAGGAAAAGGAAAGGAAAAGAAGGCAUUUUGGAUUUUGGGAGGGAUCUCUCUGUAAGAAUUCCAGGAAUAAAUCUCUCCCCUUUCCUAUAUUUUUCUUGCCUUUUUGUAGGGGGGGGGGGGUCACACCUGGAAAUGCAUAGGGAUUACUCCUGGCUCUGCACUCAGGAAUCACUCCUGGCGGUGCCCAGGGGACCAUAUGGGAUGUUGGGAACUGAACUCCGGUCGGCCACAUGCAAGUGUUGCUCUGUGAUGAUAGCAUGACAUCUACUUCCUGUGUACUUUGAAGAGCAUUCAGCACACAGCCAGUUCUUUCUUGAUGCUCCACCCUUGGGCUUUGCCCGAAGAUCUCUGCUAGCUCUUGGAGGCACGGUUUACGUUGAGCAGUUUCCAGGGCUGAGAUCAUCCAGGAGGGAAGGUUUCCAUAUAUGACAGCUUUGCGGCUGUGUCCAGAAAUGUUCCCAAGCUCUUCGCCUGGUGCUGUCCAAGAAUCAGAUGGUGGCUGGAUUCCCACACAAAAGGGGCAAUGGAGCUUUGGUUUCAGAAAAGAGUAGGUAGUGUCCUUUUGUCCAAUUAUGUAAGCAGUACAUGGUUCUCUAGAAUAUUUGAGAAUUUUUUUUACAGUAUUUAGGUGGAAAAGAACGAUAUGCCAAAAUUUCAUUCACCUCUGGAUCAUAUUGUUUUUGUGUAUUUGUUUUUAUGCACACAUGGGUCUCCGUAUAUUUUAGGAAGGCAGUUCACAUUUCACUGUGGUUGGAUGUGGGUUUGGAAGUCUGAUACCACUCAUGUGGAGUUCUGUGACCUUCAGCAUCUUAUCCUUGUUCCUCCUUCCACAAUAAAGUUUGCUAAUUCUCA
Long non-coding RNA from Sorex araneus (European shrew), 942 nucleotides. RefSeq lists it as uncharacterized. NCBI's taxonomy places the organism in Eukaryota, Metazoa, Chordata, Mammalia, Eulipotyphla, Soricidae. The record is from RefSeq and is a predicted model, not a curated record. The transcript has 3 exons.